This 379-nucleotide ribosomal RNA is filed under the name uncultured bacterium. RNAcentral describes it as "bacterial SSU rRNA". It matches the Rfam family "Bacterial small subunit ribosomal RNA", at positions 521 to 896 of the family's 1533-position model. The record is from RNAcentral.
UAAUACGGGGGGAGCAAGCGUUGUUCGGAUUUACUGGGCGUAAAGGGCGCGUAGGCGGUCAGUGCAAGUCAGUUGUGAAAUCUCUGGGCUUAACCCAGAACGGUCAACUGAUACUGCUCGACUAGAGUGCAGAAGGGGCAACUGGAAUUCUCGGUGUAGCGGUGAAAUGCGUAGAUAUCGAGAGGAACACCUGCGGCGAAGGCGGGUUGCUGGGCUGACACUGACGCUGAGGCGCGAAAGCUAGGGGAGCGAACGGGAUUAGAUACCCCGGUAGUCCUAGCCUUAAACGAUGAAUGCUUGGUGUCUCGGGUUAUAAAGUCCCGGGGUGCCGUCGCUAACGCAUUAAGCAUUCCGCCUGGGGAGUACGGUCGCAAGACUG